GUGAGCUCGAUGAGUAGGGCGGGACACGUGGUAUCCUGUCUGAAUAUGGGGGGACCAUCCUCCAAGGCUAAAUACUCCUGACUGACCGAUAGUGAACCAGUACCGUGAGGGAAAGGCGAAAAGAACCCCGGCGAGGGGAGUGAAAAAGAACCUGAAACCGUGUACGUACAAGCAGUGGGAGCACGCUUAGGCGUGUGACUGCGUACCUUUUGUAUAAUGGGUCAGCGACUUAUAUUCUGUAGCAAGGUUAACCGAAUAGGGGAGCCGAAGGGAAACCGAGUCUUAACUGGGCGUUAAGUUGCAGGGUAUAGACCCGAAACCCGGUGAUCUAGCCAUGGGCAGGUUGAAGGUUGGGUAACACUAACUGGAGGACCGAACCGACUAAUGUUGAAAAAUUAGCGGAUGACUUGUGGCUGGGGGUGAAAGGCCAAUCAAACCGGGAGAUAGCUGGUUCUCCCCGAAAGCUAUUUAGGUAGCGCCUCGUGAAUUCAUCUCCGGGGGUAGAGCACUGUUUCGGCAAGGGGGUCAUCCCGACUUACCAACCCGAUGCAAACUGCGAAUACCGGAGAAUGUUAUCACGGGAGACACACGGCGGGUGCUAACGUCCGUCGUGAAGAGGGAAACAACCCAGACCGCCAGCUAAGGUCCCAAAGUCAUGGUUAAGUGGGAAACGAUGUGGGAAGGCCCAGACAGCCAGGAUGUUGGCUUAGAAGCAGCCAUCAUUUAAAGAAAGCGUAAUAGCUCACUGGUCGAGUCGGCCUGCGCGGAAGAUGUAACGGGGCUAAACCAUGCACCGAAGCUGCGGCAGCGACGCUGAUGCGUUGUUGGGUAGGGGAGCGUUCUGUAAGCCUGCGAAGGUGUGCUGUGAGGCAUGCUGGAGGUAUCAGAAGUGCGAAUGCUGACAUAAGUAACGAUAAAGCGGGUGAAAAGCCCGCUCGCCGGAAGACCAAGGGUUCCUGUCCAACGUUAAUCGGGGCAGGGUGAGUCGACCCCUAAGGCGAGGCCGAAAGGCGUAGUCGAUGGGAAACAGGUUAAUAUUCCUGUACUUGGUGUUACUGCGAAGGGGGGACGGAGAAGGCUAUGUUGGCCGGGCGACGGUUGUCCCGGUUUAAGCGUGUAGGCUGGUUUUCCAGGCAAAUCCGGAAAAUCAAGGCUGAGGCGUGAUGACGAGGCACU
This 1176-nucleotide ribosomal RNA is filed under the name Escherichia coli. Its description in RNAcentral is "partial 23S ribosomal RNA". It matches the Rfam family "Bacterial large subunit ribosomal RNA", at positions 399 to 1578 of the family's 2925-position model. Lineage: Bacteria; Pseudomonadati; Pseudomonadota; Gammaproteobacteria; Enterobacterales; Enterobacteriaceae. The record is from RNAcentral.